UAAAUACCCCGUGUACAUGAACUUAUAAGACGAGUACAACGUAUGGUACAUCACAAGUAUCUUAUUAGUUUUUAAGUACCAUGUGUACAUAGACUUAUGAGACGAGUACAUCGUAUGGUACAU
Molecule: non-coding RNA, 123 nt
Organism: Brachypodium distachyon (stiff brome)
Lineage: Eukaryota; Viridiplantae; Streptophyta; Magnoliopsida; Poales; Poaceae
Source: Rfam